This is a long non-coding RNA of Salvelinus sp. IW2-2015, 917 nucleotides long. RefSeq lists it as uncharacterized. Lineage: Eukaryota; Metazoa; Chordata; Actinopteri; Salmoniformes; Salmonidae. The record is from RefSeq and is a predicted model, not a curated record.
UACAGUCGUCAGUGUGUUUCCACUCCCUCUGUAGGCACGUUCAGUGGGCUGCGUAUUGGAGAAGUACAGUCUGUAGGAGAGCUGUCCAGACCAGAGUUUAUCAUACACCCUCACCGCUACUUCAACCAUAGAGCCAAUACCAGCCCAAUAAUGACACCUCUACCUGCCAACACUGAGGUGGUGAAGGCUGCCUUUGACGAGCGGAGUCUGUUCCCUAAAGAGCUUCUGGAUGAAGAGGACAGGCCUAGCCAUGGAGCCAGGAAACAGGGGAACAGGGAGAACCGGAUCAACGACAGGGGGCGUGGAAGGAAGGACAGACAAAGAAAGGGUGGUUCCUCUGGAACCUUCAAGUGAAGACGUCAUUUAUAUUGUUAUCUACUUUAUUACGUUUUAAUAUGACUUUUUAAAUGUGUGUAAAAUUAAAUCUGAUCAAUCAAGACAAGAGUGUGUUUAUGUCUCUCUGCUUCCUCUCAUGAAAAAGUACUACUAAAUUACUACUACACAAUAUCUACACAAAACCUACUGGUUUUAAUACUUGAUUGCUAUUGAGAUGUGUAGUAAACCAGUAUUGAUUGAUGUAGUAAUUAGUGAUAAAUUGGGACGUUUCACGACUUGUGAGCACUUCAUAUUUCCUACUCAAUUCUGGCAUGUAUUGAUGGAGCUAACCACUAGGCUGAUGGAACAUGGCAUGUAUUGAUGGAACUAACCACUAGGCUGAUGGAACAUGGCAUGUAUUGAUGGAGCUAACCACUAGGCUGAUGGAACAUGCCAGAAUUGAGUAGGAAAUAUGAAGUGCUCACAAGUCGAAUUACAACAAAAUGCCUAUACAUUUCUGCUGUAUGCCGACUGCCAUUUACCUGUGUAGUGUUGUGUCAGUACUGAGUUGCUCCUGAUCCUUUCUCAUUUCCUACAUUAAA